UUGCGGUUAAAAAGCUCGUAGUUGGAUCUCGGCAAGCAGGGGCCGGUUCGCUCCAUAGCGUUACUGGCCCAUUUGCUUGUGUGAUUGGCGGAGGUUUCGGGGUGCUCAUUACUGAGUGUCCCGGGGCGCCGUCAGGUUUACUUUGAAAAAAUUAGAGUGCUCAAAGCAAGCUUUUCACGCUUGAAUAUUCGUGCAUGGAAUAAUGGAAUAGGAACUCGUUUCUAUUUUGUUGGUUUUCGGAAAUCGAGUUAAUGAUUAAUAGGGACAAUUGGGGGCAUUAGUAUUCAGGCGACAGAGGUGAAAUUCUUGGACCGUCUGAAGACUAACUACUGCGAAAGCAUUUGCCAAGAGUGUUUUCAUUAAUCAAGAACGAAAGUUAGAGGUUCGAAGGCGAUCAGAUACCGCCCUAGUUCUAACCAUAAACGAUGCCAGCUAGCGAUCCGCCGAGUUUUCUUUGUAGGCUCCGCGGGAAGCUUUCGGGAAACCAAAGCUUUUGGGUUCCGGGGGAAGUAUGGUUGCAAAGCUGAAACUUAAAGGAAUUGACGGAAGGGCACCACCCAGGAGUGGAGCCCUGCGGCUUAA
This 582-nucleotide ribosomal RNA is filed under the name uncultured marine eukaryote. RNAcentral describes it as "SSU rRNA". It matches the Rfam family "Eukaryotic small subunit ribosomal RNA", at positions 613 to 1193 of the family's 1831-position model. The record is from RNAcentral.